RNAcentral lists this ribosomal RNA (253 nucleotides) under uncultured bacterium. RNAcentral describes it as "partial 16S ribosomal RNA". It matches the Rfam family "Bacterial small subunit ribosomal RNA", at positions 524 to 776 of the family's 1533-position model. The record is from RNAcentral.
UACAGAGGUCUCAAGCGUUGUUCGGAUUCAUUGGGCGUAAAGGGUGCGUAGGUGGCGGGGUUAGUCAGGUGUGAAAUCUCGGGGCUCAACCCCGAAACUGCACUUGAUACUGCCUUGCUAGAGUACUGGAGAGGAGAUUGGAAUUUACGGUGUAGCAGUGAAAUGCGUAGAUAUCGGGAGGAACACCAGUGGCGAAGGCGGCUCUCUGGGCAGAUACUGACGCUGAGACGCGAAAGCGUGGGGAGCAAACAGG